AUUGAACGCUGGCGGCAUGCUUUACACAUGCAAGUCGAACGGCAGCGCGGGCUUCGGCCUGGCGGCGAGUGGCGAACGGGUGAGUAAUGCAUCGGAACGUGCCCAGUAGUGGGGGAUAGCCCGGCGAAAGCCGGAUUAAUACCGCAUAUGACCUGAGGGUGAAAGCGGGGGACCGAAAGGCCUCGCGCUAUUGGAGCGGCCGAUGUCGGAUUAGCUAGUUGGUGGGGUAAAGGCUUACCAAGGCGACGAUCCGUAGCUGGUCUGAGAGGACGACCAGCCACACUGGGACUGAGACACGGCCCAGACUCCUACGGGAGGCAGCAGUGGGGAAUUUUGGACAAUGGGGGCAACCCUGAUCCAGCCAUGCCGCGUGCGGGAAGAAGGCCUUCGGGUUGUAAACCGCUUUUGUUCGGGAAGAAAUCCUCUGGGCUAAUACCCCGGGGGGAUGACGGUACCGGAAGAAUAAGCACCGGCUAACUACGUG
RNAcentral lists this ribosomal RNA (484 nucleotides) under uncultured bacterium. Its description in RNAcentral is "partial 16S ribosomal RNA". It matches the Rfam family "Bacterial small subunit ribosomal RNA", at positions 28 to 507 of the family's 1533-position model. The record is from RNAcentral.